Ornithodoros turicata is the source of this 311-nucleotide long non-coding RNA. RefSeq lists it as uncharacterized. NCBI's taxonomy places the organism in Eukaryota, Metazoa, Arthropoda, Arachnida, Ixodida, Argasidae. The record is from RefSeq and is a predicted model, not a curated record. The transcript is spliced from 3 exons.
GACAAACUUACUGGCGAUAGCAACACAAAUGUGAACAACGAGGUUUACGUGAAUCAACCGCCCGUUCAGGUUCACAUAGUGCAUCCGCCAUGCGACCCAGGCAAAUAUUAUGACGAAGGCAGAAGGAAAUGUCGCAGGCUGCCCAAAAGUGCGGUUGGUGUGUGACCGUUCGUCGACAUGUAUGGGAAAAUGCGGAAGAGGAGCACUGCGAAAUUUUCUCGUUUCCAAAACAACAACUCAGAAUUUUCAAACAAGAAUAAGAUAUUUUCGUUAUCAAUAUUCUAUACUACUACUUGCUUUAAAUCGUUAUA